Molecule: ribosomal RNA, 1007 nt
Filed under: Raffaelea sp.
Lineage: Eukaryota; Fungi; Ascomycota; Sordariomycetes; Ophiostomatales; Ophiostomataceae
Description: SSU rRNA
Rfam family: Eukaryotic small subunit ribosomal RNA
Source: RNAcentral
CUGCGAAUGGCUCAUUAAAUCAGUUAUCGUCUAUUUGAUAGUACCUUACUACUUGGAUAACCGUGGUAAUUCUAGAGCUAAUACAUGCUGAAAACCCCGACUUCGGAAGGGAUGUAUUUAUUAGAUUAAAAACCAAUGCCCUUCGGGGCUCCCUGGUGAUUCAUGAUAACUUCUCGAAUCGCACGGCCUUGCGCCGGCGAUGGUUCAUUCAAAUUUCUGCCCUAUCAACUUUCGACGGCUGGGUCUUGGCCAGCCGUGGUGACAACGGGUAACGGAGGGUUAGGGCUCGACCCCGGAGAAGGAGCCUGAGAAACGGCUACUACAUCCAAGGAAGGCAGCAGGCGCGCAAAUUACCCAAUCCCGACACGGGGAGGUAGUGACAAUAAAUACUGAUACAGGGCUCUUUUGGGUCUUGUAAUUGGAAUGAGUACAAUUUAAUUCCCUUAACGAGGAACAAUUGGAGGGCAAGUCUGGUGCCAGCAGCCGCGGUAAUUCCAGCUCCAAUAGCGUAUAUUAAAGUUGUUGCAGUUAAAAAGCUCGUAGUUGAACCUUGGGCCUGGCUGGCCGGUCCGCCUCACCGCGUGCACUGGUCCGGCCGGGCCUUUCCCUCUGGGGAGCCGCAUGCCCUUCACUGGGCGUGCCGGGGAACCAGGACGUUUACUUUGAAAAAAUUAGAGUGUUCAAAGCAGGCUUAUGCUCGGAUACAUUAGCAUGGAAUAAUAGAAUAGGACGUGCGGUUCUAUUUUGUUGGUUUCUAGGACCGCCGUAAUGAUUAAUAGGGACAGUCGGGGGCAUCAGUAUUCAGUUGUCAGAGGUGAAAUUCUUGGAUUUACUGAAGACUAACUACUGCGAAAGCAUUUGCCAAGGAUGUUUUCAUUAAUCAGGAACGAAAGUUAGGGGAUCGAAGACGAUCAGAUACCGUCGUAGUCUUAACCAUAAACUAUGCCGACUAGGGAUCGGACGGUGUUAUUUUUUGACCCGUUCGGCACCUUACACGAAAGUACAAG